CCUACGGGGGGCUGCAGUCGAGAAUCUUCGUCAAUGGGCGAAAGCCUGAACGAGCGACGCCGCGUGUGGGAUGAAGGCCUUUGGGUUGUAAACCACUGUCGAGGGGGAUGAAGGCAUUCAGGUCCUCCUGAAUGUUUGACAGAGCCCUGGAGGAAGCACGGGCUAAGUUCGUGCCAGCAGCCGCGGUAAUACGAACUGUGCGAACGUUAUUCGGAAUCACUGGGCUUACAGGGUGCGUAGGCGGCUUAGCAAGUCAGGUGUGAAAGCCCCCGGCUCAACCGGGGAACUGCGCUUGAAACUGCUGAGCUCGAGUCAGCUAGAGGUACACGGAACUUCCAGUGGAGCGGUGAAAUGUGUUGAUAUUGGAAGGAACACCGGAGGCGAAAGCGGUGUACUGGGGCUGGUCUGACGCUGAGGCACGAAAGCCAGGGGAGCGAACGGGAUUAGAUACCCGGGUAGUCG
This 462-nucleotide ribosomal RNA is filed under the name uncultured Planctomyces sp. RNAcentral describes it as "bacterial SSU rRNA". It matches the Rfam family "Bacterial small subunit ribosomal RNA", at positions 338 to 796 of the family's 1533-position model. The record is from RNAcentral. Lineage: Bacteria; Pseudomonadati; Planctomycetota; Planctomycetia; Planctomycetales; Planctomycetaceae.